Long non-coding RNA from Numida meleagris (helmeted guineafowl), 1670 nucleotides. RefSeq lists it as uncharacterized. The record is from RefSeq and is a predicted model, not a curated record. The transcript is spliced from 7 exons. NCBI's taxonomy places the organism in Eukaryota, Metazoa, Chordata, Aves, Galliformes, Numididae.
CUUCCCUUGCAGCACCUUGCUGUUGUGCUGCUCCUUCCACCUCUUUUGUAACACCUUUUCCAUGGUGUUGGUCCUUCUGAUUCCUGAAUUUCUGUUAAAUAUUGUAGCAGUUUGUCAGCAGCAAGAAGGAGACCAGGGAAUGCAGAGGUGCUGACUGCCUUCUCUUCAGAGGGUACUGCUGAGAGCUCUCCUCAGGGAUCCUGGAGGAGGUGGUAAGAGACGAUGAAAUGCGUCUGAGGACCAGAGGACAGCCAGCGUUGGCGCAGCCUUCAAACAGGGUGCAGGAGUCUCGCUGAUGAGAGCUGCGCGGCAUUCAUGGAGGGGAACACCAGCAGGAAGAAGGACUGGACUGUGAGCGACAAAGCAGUUAUGGUGUUGCCUUGCCUGGGGCUAUGGAAGCUUGGUCUGGAGGCUUUCCCAGGUUCAGGGCCAGACCAAGAACUGCGAUGGUGCCCUUCUGGAGCAAGGGUUGGGUGUGCUGCUGGAGUCCUGAGAGGAAGGUGAAGCCCUGAGGUUGGAAGGCUGUGGCUGCAGAAGCGGAGCAGAGGGACCAGCAAGAAGCUUGGUGUCCCUUUGAAGAGGGAUGUCUUCUGCUUUGUUGCCUUCUUGCUGAAGUGGAAUGGCGGAGGAGAACUUCCCGGUCUAACUCUGUUUUCUUCUCAGCGUCUGCCCCCAGAAUGCUGGUAGGUAAGUUCAGUUCUGUGGGGUGGGCAGCGGGUGAUGCUGGCUCUGUGGGAGAGAAGAAUGAGUGGUCAAAGAGGGGUUCUGGGAAGGACUGUGGGUGGGAAUGCUCUGCGUUAGGGGUGGGGACUGGGAUGCCUGGGAGUAUCUGCCCUGAAAACAGGGCUGCGCUGGCUAUUUCUGUGCUUGGGCCUGCCUGGCUGGCUGGUGGCACUUAGCUUAUUGAUCUUGGGGAAUGGGAGAGGGGAGAACAAGGGCCCCUUUGCAAUUGGUGGCAGGUUUUGUAAGCAAAUUCAGGAGGGAGACAGAACAAACAUUGUCAAAUGUUACCUCUUUCAAAAGGACCAUGUAUCAGGCUCACUUGACUUGCCCAAUGAAAUGGCUUGGUGCAUUUCUCUGGUGCCUGUAUGGUUGCAGCUGCGUUGCAGGAGUUUCUCCAACUUGGUGGAACUCCCUGAGCAUGGAGUGGUGCUGCCUUCAGAAAGCAACCUGGAUGAGUUUGCUGAGGACUAUCUCUGGUUUCUCGCUGGGUGACUCGAGCUGGUGCUUCUUGGCCGAACCCUGUGCAUCCAGCCUUGAAUAAGACACAAGCCUGGGUCAGAAGGGACCUACAUGCCCUUGUUCUGAUGAGUCUGCAAAACCUCAGUGUGCUGCCUCUGAGAGCAGUGUCCAAACCCUUCUCCAACUCAUCCACUCUGGGGCUGUGCCUGCAGCCUGCCUGCCCUCUGCUGAGUUAACUUCUCAUCAGCUGCAGUGUGACCCUCCCUGAUGCAGCUCUGCACUGUUCCUUCCUAUCCAUCCCUGCUCUUACAGAGCAGAGCUCAACACAGGACCUUGGCGGCUUCUUGUAGCUCUCACCCUCUGGCCCCCUCACCUUUUUUGCAUUGUAGAAUCAUGCCUGUGGCAACAGCCUGCUAUGGAAGAUCGUCCAGUACAACUGCCAACCCAUCACCCCCACACCAUUUAAGAACUCGGUGCACUGCUUACCC